CAAUAGCGUAUAUUAAAGUUGUUGCAGUUAAAACGCUCGUAGUUGAUAUUCUGCUAGUGAGAACGAAGCUGCCUUAAAAAGUAGCAUUUGUUCUUAGUAGCAUCAUUCUGAAUCUACACUGCAAAGUGGAAAUUCAGAGCCGUUACCUUGAGAAAAUUAGAGUGUUUCAAGCAGGCGAAAUGCCUUGAAUACUCCAGCAUGGAAUAACAAGUAAGGACUUAGGUUCUUCUUGUUGGUUUAGGGACCUUAGUAAUGAUUAAGAGGAACAGUCGGGGGUAUUCGUACUUGGUAGUCAGAGGUGAAAUUCUUGGAUUUACCAAAGACGAACUACUGCGAAGGCAUUAUUUCCGACGACGCCGUCAUUGA
RNAcentral lists this ribosomal RNA (366 nucleotides) under uncultured eukaryote. Its description in RNAcentral is "partial 18S ribosomal RNA". It matches the Rfam family "Eukaryotic small subunit ribosomal RNA", at positions 592 to 976 of the family's 1831-position model. The record is from RNAcentral.